Long non-coding RNA from Equus caballus (horse), 1049 nucleotides. The record is from Ensembl. NCBI's taxonomy places the organism in Eukaryota, Metazoa, Chordata, Mammalia, Perissodactyla, Equidae.
GGCUGGAGUCCCAACAAGGAAGGCCCUGCCCAGAGUCCCUGGCUUCCAGGGAGCAGAGAGCGGCUGAUGGAGUCCAGAAACCUACUUUCUAGGACUCUGCUCUACAAAAUACCAGCACAAAAACGCAAAGAUAUACCCAAGAGCACGUUCACCGCAAGAUUUCUUGUCUUGGUAAAAAUGGGAAGCAACCUCAAAAAACAUACAGGAGGCUGCCAAAGGUAUCUAGAUCAACCUGGAAAGCAGUCCAUGAUACAUUAUUACGUGAAAAAGCAAGGAGCAGAAUUGAACAUACAGUGUGAUCUCAUUCUAUAGUACUACAUAUGCCUUGUAUUAUAUAACUGAGUAUAGUGUAUGAACCAAUUCUAUACACACAAACGUUUUGAAGCAUAGAAAAUAAAAUCCUGUAGGAGUACACAGAAAAUCGUUAACAGCAGUUACCUCUAGGGUGGAAAAAUAUAUUUUUAAUUUUUCUCUUAUACACGUCUGUACUGCACUGUUUGAAUUUCUUAAAAUUAGCACGUAUUAGAUCUGAUUUAACACCCCUCCUCCCCCCCGCAAUAAACAAGAAAGGAACUGGACAGGGUCAAAUGGUCCACCUUCUCCCAGGAGCAACCAGAAAAAGUGAGCCUAACAUGACUAGGUCCAUGUUGCAGGGCACAGCCCCAGAAACAAUCCAAAUGAGUGAAGUGAGGGAGCAGGAACACAGAGGGCAGGGGACAGACCAUCCUGUCUCCCUGGGGGCCAGGAAUCCUACCAGUCUGCACCCGCAUCCUCCAGCGCCUGGCUGAGGCCUCGCACAGCACUCCUCUGUAAAGAGGGCACAGGAACGCUGGCUCUUCAGGAGAUGGAGCAUGUGACCAGCGACCACUCUACAAGCCUGGACGUUUUGAAAUGUGCUGUUUCUUCAUUGGAGGAUACCCACUAAAGGAGCCCUUCCUAAUAAUUAACUCAGUAGGAUCAAUAAUGCUCACCAUUUCUCAUGCUUUCCAUGUGCUACGUACAUUACAUGUAUUAUCUCAUUGUAUGCCAAUCAGGAUCCUAUAAAGCAG